RNAcentral lists this long non-coding RNA (8462 nucleotides) under Gallus gallus (chicken). The record is from RNAcentral. Lineage: Eukaryota; Metazoa; Chordata; Aves; Galliformes; Phasianidae.
CCCCGCCCCCUGAGCGCCGCGCGGCUCCGCCUGCGGGGGGGCGGCCGCCGCUGAGCCGGUGCCGGUCGCUGCGGGUAGCCGCCUUCGACGUAGGCGCUCCUAUCCUGGGCCGAGGUUCAGCUUCGCCGGUACUCAUCUCCGAAGGAAGGAACAGAAGAAAACCUGCCAUACGGCCCCGUAGCUCAGGUACCGAUUUCAACGCGGCGCAGGCCACAGUAAGCCGUAAGUCGAGGAGAAAAGGAGCAGCGCUCCCGGGCGGCGCGCAUCAGCCGGACGGCUUGGCGGGAAGGGGCGGCAGCGGGCGGGCGCAGCGCCCCUUCCCCAUGAGGAAACGUACGCAGCACUGCCGCCGGUAGAGCCCGACAGGCUGAAGGAGGACUGGCGUCACAUUUAAUAUCGUGCUCGCUGGAAACUUUUACAGUCCGACAGCCAGAGUAAUAAUCAGGUGCAACUUCAGACGACUUCUAUAAAAUAACUUUAAUGACUUGGUUCAUGCCACUUUAAAAACAGUCAUUUUCAAGAAGAAAAAUCAGUAUGUUUCUGGUACUGACUUUGCUUUCCUAUUCUUAUUCCCAUCUUUGCUAAUAGUUUGGCAUCCCCAGUACAUCCAGACGUUUGCCUGGGUGGGUGUACUGAAAAGUAACCCCAAGUUCCUAACCUGCUUAUACAGUCUGCAGUUACUGCAGACCUUCCCCACCCACCUCCAUCUACUAAGAAAAAGUCUUUUUGUGAAAGCUUUCCAAAAUGCCAAAGAUGAUAUUAAGCCAAGUAUUCCUCAGAUCUGUAUGUAUGUGUAUAUAUAUAUAUAUGGUCUGUCUGACUUGAAAUUCAAUCUGCAGUCACCCAGAUGGCAGAUGAAAAUCACUGGCAUAAGACAGCUAUUGUAGCCUAGAGAGCUGUAUAUGCUAUCACUAUUGGAAUCAAACAGCUGUUCUUGGUCUUUCCUGAGCAAAAUCUUCAUGGCAUCCAAAUGAGAUUUUUGCAGGCCGCACACAGAGUCCUUUUAAAGGAAGAUGUGACGUGAAUUCUCAAAACACAUCCCCAUCUCAAAACAGACAAUAAAAUGGGCAUCACAAAAAUCCAUGUUAUACAAUAAGACUGCAUUUCAGUUUUUCCUAUUACUUGGUAUAACAAGAUUCAGUAAAACAUGGAAGCAAAGUACCAAUGGCCAUCUUCCCCCAAGUCCUUGAAGAAUUUCUCUGCAUAUUCUACUGGUCUUCAGGUCUCUAAAGUUUCUUCAUUUGCACCACAAGUGUCUACAACACAGAUUAAACAACUUGUCACUGGGAAAGCACGGACUUUGGAGUUGGCUAUCCACUUGUCUGUUUCAGUAUUAUACUCAAGAAUGUGCCCUAAUCGACCAACACCCUGAAAACCGGCCAGGACAUAAACUAUGGAUCCCACAGCAGCACACUUCACUGUUACACCUUUCCAUGGCAUUGGAGACACCAUCUUCCAUUCAUUCAUCUUGAUAUCGUAAUAUUCUACAUUAUCAAGGCCACCUAAAAAGCAAUGAAAUAGAGAACUGCUUACUACAGUAUACUGUCUAGGAUGAACUUGAGUACAGAAUGCUACUUAAAACUUAGUCAUUUUCAGAGUUUACAUUAAAAUAUGUAACAGACAGAAUAUUUCAGAGGAAAGGCCACAAUUUUCUAAACUAGCAGUUACUCACUCUUUAAAUACAGAAACAGAAGGCAAGACUGAAAAUGAGAUGCACUCCUACAAGUUUCACAUUGUAAAGGUUCUAACGAGUUGCUCCACAAACACAACAGUGCCUGAUUUCUCAUGGAUUUUGGGUAGUAACCUAAAGUUAGGAAUCCACCUAAAAAUUAUCUCCAGUAAGGCCAUUUAAUUCUAGUUGGAUUAUCAGCAUACCUUUACCUAAGUAGGUCGCUUACUGAUGAAGGAUCUCCAUUAAACUUCAAAUAUGUUUAUAUCAUAAAAACCUAAGUCACUUUUCAAGGGCCGACAGUUUCAAAAGUUAUUAAGGAAAGUAUGUUAUGUGAAGUAUGUAAGAUUUUCUUCUUUAAGAAACAGGCUAGCAAUCACACUUCACAAUAUCUACAAAUAUCUUAUUAUUCUUAUUUAAAAAUAAAUGACUACGAGGCACAGGCAAGUUUUCCCUUCCAGUCCUGAAUUAUUAGAUCUGAGAGAUUAACUUCUAUAAUCAUAGAUGAUAUUUCAUUCCAGACAUAAAUCUUUGCCAUUAUAUUAUAUUAAGAACAAUUAAUCAGUGAAGUUGCAGAAUGCAAACAGCAAAAGAAUAUUUUACUUAUUAGUUCAGCAGCACACGGUCAGCAAAUACACUAAAACCUUGCAAAGUGACAGCUCUGGCUAUAACUGUUUGAUCAAGUGCACAGAAAAAUUAUACAUACUGAUAUUUUUGAAUAGGAGUCAAUCAUACUGGAAUAGUCUUAGUAACUAAUUAAAAUACAAGCUAUAUUCUAGAACAGCAUUAAUGUGAAUUUAGAUAUUCUAGUUACCAUAAAUAGUAAUUAAUAAACCCCAUAGAUGAGAACUUUCAUUUUCAAAAGCGCUUCAGAAACCCUAUGUAAUUAAAAUUGAAAUUCAACUCUCCUGGGAAAUCAACUAUCAUUCUAGUUUUACAGAUAAAGAGACAGACCAUGACAGUAAGUCACAUUUCAUUAACUAGGGCAGUCAAGAAAAUUCUGUUUUUCACCUCUUGAAAAUAGCAGACUAGCUUUGAAUCUUCAGACUGUUUUGUUCAGUGGAAUGACAAAGUCUCUUGAAAUAUACAAUGAAAGACUUAAAGCAAAUAAACCAACUAAAAGAUUGCCUUUUGUUAAGAUAUUUGACUUGGCUAUAUUAGUACAGAUGCAUUUCUGAAUUUUACAGUACUAGGAGACUGGAAAACAUAAUGAAGUAUGGAGGUGAAUGAAGGAAUGCAACAACAUCAGCAAUAGAACAUGUUUUAUAGUACUGCUCAAAGUUUUUCCAGCUGAAUAAAGUAGAAUUAAAUUUUGGUAAAGGCAACAAAAGGCCCCAACAAAAGUUUGAGUGUCCAGCUAGAGAAUUAAAAGAACUGGAGUACCUAAGCCAUUCUGUCCGCCCACAGCAAAUAUUUUGUCCUUUACAAACACCAGUCCAUGAUUCUUCCUGGCUUCAAUCAUUGGACACAGCUCAGUCCAUCUGAAGAAGCAAACAAACAAACAAACAAACAAACAAAAUCACAGGAGAAUUCACUGUUUCAUUUCUUAAAAAAAAAUACAUAUUAAAUAAAUCCUGGAGAUAGGAAAGAGAAAUAUGAAAGAAAGCUGCUGGAUAAAAUUGACUUUUUAAGUGAAACUACAAAUAGCUGAUAGAUUACUGCUUAAUUCAGGAAAAUACCUUAAUGACAUACAAUUCAUAGAACCACUGAAUCAUUAAGGUCAGAAAAGACCACUAGGAUAUCCAGUCCAACCCCAACCCAUCCCUACUGACCAUGUCUUCACCUACAUGGUUCUCCAACACCUCCAGGGAUGGUGACUCCACUACCCCCCCUGGGCAUUACCCCCGGUGCAUCACCACUCUUUCUGAGAAGAAAGUUUUCCAAAAAACCAACCUGAACCUCCCCUUGGCAACUUGAAGCCAUUACCUUUCAUCCCACCAUGAGAUAACUGGGAGAAGAGACCAACCCCCACCUCACCACAACCUCCCUUCAGGUAGUCAUAGAGAGCAUAAGCUCUCCCUUGAGUCUCUUCUCCAGACUGAACAGUCCCCGUUCCCUCAGCCACUUAAGAACUGAGCUCCAGACCCCUUCACCAGCUCCACUGCCCUUCUGUGGACACGCUCGCAGGCCUCAAUGUCUAUCUUGUAGUGAGGGGCCCAAUUCUUCCUAUUCAUUUACAUUUCACGUACUUGCAGGGUGAGCAAAAGUGACCAAAAAUACUCAGAGUUGACACAACACUUACGUUUCUGUGGCCGGAUCAUAAACUUCACAGGAAUUUAGUACUCGUCCGGAAACAUUGUUUCCCAGGCUCCCUCCACACACAUAAAUGAGACCAUUCGCCUCUACCAUUCCGUGACUGCAGCGUUGAGUCAGCAUGCUGGGCUUUGUAUGCCAGCUUUCUGUUCUCGUAUCGUAGCAUUCAAACAAAUACAGUGCAGAAUUUCCUUAAAGAAAUAAGAAACCCACCAAAGUGGCAUUAAUUUUGAUGGCUGUCCUCCAAGAGAAGAGACUCACAGCAAUUAUCAAAUUGGUGCUUAGUUGGUUGAAAAGGGAAAGCUGCUUUCCCACCUCUAAAAACAGAGCUAACCAACUUGAAAUAUGGAACUACUCAAAAAGCACACACUUGUAAUUCUUUUCUUGACUCUUUUGUUCCAAAACAUGUGAGUUUAUAAAACUGCUGUUUGUGUUUGAAAACAAAUACAAAUGGUACAGAUUUGUUUGGGGAGGGGCAGGGGGUGCUGGGGGUAGAAGAAGUGAACAAAGUUGUAUAUUAAAUACAGAUCAGAUUUCCAUCGUUUCAUGUUACUCAGUACUUAGAAACAUAGGGAACAUGGCACCUAUUUUGUAAACCUAACAGAUUCACCUGAGUCUUUCUCUAAGCAAAGUGAUUCAUGCUACUCCCAGAAUAUUUGGUGCUUUUCGGAUUAGACAGCUAAAUUAUGUUGCAACAUAUUCCUGAAUUAUUAGCAGCCAUAGAACAGCUAAGUUUCACCAUUUUACUUUCUUCCUGGCUACUGGCAGAUAUUUUCUAUUUUCUCAAAAGUUUGAGGUCUGUGUUUUCCCCUCUCAUGGACCAACAAACUAUUACUGAAAUCAAAAGCAACUUUUCUAAUGAAGAUAAAUGGGAGCAUCAAGACUUGCCCUUAAAUAACCAGCCAUACUUAAAGCAGAGUAGACUAGGCAUGGCUUUCUCAGAAAAGAGCUGGGUGUGUUACUGCACUCACUGCCAGCUGGGGAACUGAGCUGACAAAUCACACGGAACAGCACUACUUUUCCAGGCUCAGAAAUACAGGAGUAGAUUUCUGUGAACCACGUUUGCUUACUCCUGCCACAGUUCUCAACAUCAAUAAGAACUGUGGAGUGAGCCAUAUUUUUUCCUUGAUAUACACACACAUCCUUAUUGCUUGGAAGCUGUACAAAUUCAUAUACAGAGGAAAUACAGUAGAGUUGUCUUUAAUGUCUUUUUAGAGAAGUGGAAAGCUGCUGUUUCAGUACACUGUGAGGAUAAUGUUAAAUAUUUGUCCUGCACCUGAUUAUACUGAAAGAAUUUGGUAUGUUUGGCACUCAAUUUCUGUUAACUACUGCAAAUAAAACAGUACUCCCAUCAACUCUAAAAGAGGAAACCAACCCUGUUGACUAAGUGGAUUGGCACAGUAGUUUUACAGACUCUUUGAUCAAUGCAAUAAAUAUGCUAUUUUUAGACUUAUAUACAACUAAACAAAUUUAGGAGGAAGUUUUUCACACAGAGGGUGGUGACGCACUGGAACAGGUUGCCCAAGGAGGUUGUGGAUGCCCCAUCUCUGGAGGCAUUCAAGGCCAGGCUGGAUGUGGCUCUGGGCAGCCUGGUCUGGUGGUUGGAGACCCUGCACAUAGCAGAGGGGUUGAAACUACAUGGCCAUUGUGGUCCUUUUCAACCCAGGCCGCUCUAUGAUUCUAUGGUUCUAUGAUUCUGUGAAUUACAGCACUUUUAAAUUAAUAGUUUCACAAAAUUGCUUGCUCCAAUUUAGAAAAGUAGGAGAAUCAGUAUAGAUGGACUUUUCUAGAAGACAAGCAGUAUUCACUGGAUUCCAAAGAAAAAAUACACUUGCAAAAUAACCUGUUACUAAUUUUUAGAUUUUACUAUUCUGUCUUUAAAUAUUUAUGGAAAACACAGUGAAACGGUGCAGUAGAGCAAGUGUAAACCAGAAAAAACUCCAAAGUUAAUAACAUUGUAAUGGAAUUGUAACUAAUUAAAAUGUAUUAGAAAAUAAACUAUCCAAUGAAAGUCUGGAUCACAAUUCCUCAUGAUCUGGCACAUAGGGAAACUGGGAAGAUUUAAAAGAUUUUGUAGUUUUGUAGCAUUCCAAGCCUUAACCUGUUGCAAAUAAUGGGAGAAGUGUUAUGUCACAUUUACCACACUAGGUGGCAGCUACAAACUAUCUGCUCCCACAUCAGACCUCUUAAAACAUAUUCGAAGUCAGAUAACAUGACCUAAAUGUCACAGCUUUCUAUUGAGUGACUUAUCAAUUUUAGGCACUGAUUAUGACCCUUUUUUCCUCUUCACAUCCCUUUGCAGUGAGACAGAACUCAAGAGGAUCUACUGAAAAAUUUAUCUCUAGGCAUAGUGGUUUUUGUCGUUGUUUAGUUGUGGUUUUUUGGAGGGGAUAGAACUUGCUUUUUUUUUUCCUUUAAGCUCUGUUUCUAUGGAUAUAGCAUAGCAUACUUACAUUUCUACUUCUGGUUUGCUCAAGUUGAGUAUUUUAGACAAAAAUUAACAAAAGCUGUACUGUAGCAAUGUGUUUCAUUACGGAAAUUUUCCUGGGGCGGGGGGAACUCAAUGGUCUUUCUUCAACUACAAUGAGUAAAUGACAUCUAAAUUCCCACUUACUGAAGCAAACCAUCAGAAUAAUUAACAGAAGAUAACUUCUGUCACUUGACAGAAACAGGUCAGUUUACAGGGACAGGUGUGAUUUCACCAACAAAACCAGUCAAUUACAAAGCUUUUUAUCAUCCCUUUUUUUUGUUGUUGAAAAUAAAAGAAACCUCAUCAGGCUCAGCAUACACAAUGAAUACCACAAUGCAGCUAUUCUGGCCAUAUGUCACGAAAUUUUAAACCACGCUGAGAUCUGUGAAUGUGUUAAGUAAACUAACAGCAGAGUGAGACUUUCAAACUGUAUUUGCUUGUCCCUAGUCAACUCCUAACGUGAAUAACACAAUUUCAAUCAGAAACAGAACACAACAGAAAUAGGUUGUUGGAUUUCAGGGAGAAGAAAAUUCUAAAUAUGGGAAAAUUAACUCAUGAGGCUAACACGGCAACGUGCAGUUUCUUUUCAACAGUCAUGCAAAAAAAAAAAACAAAAACAACACAACAGAACAUUUUCCAGGUAUCUUUGUUUGUGCUUUUUGGGGGUUUGUUUUUAAAGAUUUUUAGUGUCUUACCCACUUCUGAACCACCAGAUGUAUAAAUUUUGCCCUCAGCAGCACAGGCUGCAAGGCUAUCUCGAGGUGUUGGAGGUCCUAGCUUGGAAUACCAGCUAUCCUUCACCACAUUGUAGCAGUCCAUUCGCUUUAUAGGGAAGAGCUGGGAACCACCCAAAAUAUAAACUACGUUGUCCCAGAAGACACAAGCUGCAUCCCUGCGCUUUUCAAAGGGACAUCGGAUGUCUGUCCAGCUGUAAUCCUGCAUUACAAAGAACAGGUAAUGUCUAAUAGAUUGUAACACUUACCUGCACAGCGAGUGUUUUUCAAACAGAGCUUUUCAUAGAGAUCUAGAUACGGUCAGUUUUAAAUUUCCUUUUCAAAACAAACAUGAACACUGUUUAUUGAAGAACACUCCUCAGGCGUACUCUUGAAAAAUUCACUUAAACACAGACAUAGUUAGCUGCAAUGAACCAUGACAUAAUCAAUUUCUAUUUCCUCAUUCCCUCUGUACACCCAGUACAGCUUCCCUGAAAAACAGGUCUUUUUUUCCCCUCGACGGAAUUGAUGUCCUGCUGCUACCAAGUCAGAAACAAUGCAUGUAAUCAAUGAAGCAGAAUUGCUUUUUCUUUUAUAGAAAUGGAAAAAAACAUCUUACAUAUACUAAGAAAUUCUUUCUCUCUAAGGAAAACAAAUACAGAAAGUUAAACCAAACAAAGGCGAUGGAAAAAGAAGAUAAUAUCCCAAUUGACAAGCAACUCAGUUGAAAAGCUCCAGUACAUACUUUAUUACCAUGACAACUAGAAGCUUAUUUACAGGAUUUGCAAAACACAAGUGAUCUAUAGCUAUCCACAGUUGAUAGCAUGAGAAAUGGUGUAAUGCUUUAUCACAAAUACUGGCAGUCAUGUUGCCUAGAAACUGCUUUUGCAUGGGUUGGCAAAACCAGCAAGUAUCAAAUAUAGGCAUUAAUGCUACCCAAAGCCUUAAAAACACCAAACUCAGCAACUGAUGGCAGACCAGGAUAGCAUACAGCACAAGGAACACUUCUUGAAUAAUUGCAUCUCACAUAUUCCAUGCCAUCAUAAGCAUAGCUUUUAUCUUACGCUGAACAGGAAACUUUGGGACCUUAACUGUUAUCUGUCACCUCAAGAUGGUCUAGCUAAACCAGCUGCAUGACCUUCAUUGUAAUGAAUCACACAAGACAUUACAAGAUUACAUUUUCUUGGCAAGGACAUACUUCAAACACCUUGGUCAAUGAGGAAGAACAGCGACUUCUACAUGGGGGUUCAAAGAAAGAGGCAGAGCAUGUUAUAGUCCAAAACAUCUUACAAUCUUUUCCUGUAGCAUCCCCCUUAGCAAGAAGAGCUGGCAGGUGCAUGUGGCCCUUUAUGAUGAG